Long non-coding RNA from Carassius auratus (goldfish), 263 nucleotides. RefSeq lists it as uncharacterized. The transcript has 3 exons. NCBI's taxonomy places the organism in Eukaryota, Metazoa, Chordata, Actinopteri, Cypriniformes, Cyprinidae. The record is from RefSeq and is a predicted model, not a curated record.
UCUUGAGGUUUUCUGUCGCACUGACCAGAAAUUUGUAUGUAUGCUGUGUACGAUGGAUGAACACAAAAACCACGACACUGUAUCAGCUGCAGCACAGAGGACAGAGAAACAGAAACAGCUGAUGGAGAUGCAGAAUACGCUCCAGCAGAGAAUCCAGAAGAGAGAGAAAGAUCUCCAGCAGCUGAGAGAGACUGUGGAGUCUCGUAAGCGCUCUGCACAGACAGCAGCCGAGGACAGUGAGAGGAUCUUUACUGAGCUCAUCC